This 694-nucleotide ribosomal RNA is filed under the name uncultured bacterium. Its description in RNAcentral is "bacterial SSU rRNA". It matches the Rfam family "Bacterial small subunit ribosomal RNA", at positions 32 to 715 of the family's 1533-position model. The record is from RNAcentral.
AACGCUAGCUACAGGCUUAACACAUGCAAGUCGAGGGGCAGCAUGGUCUUAGCUUGCUAAGGCUGAUGGCGACCGGCGCACGGGUGAGUAACACGUAUCCAACCUGCCGUCUACUCUUGGACAGCCUUCUGAAAGGAAGAUUAAUACAAGAUGGCAUCAUGAGUCCGCAUGUUCACAUGAUUAAAGGUAUUCCGGUAGACGAUGGGGAUGCGUUCCAUUAGAUAGUAGGCGGGGUAACGGCCCACCUAGUCCUCGAUGGAUAGGGGUUCUGAGAGGAAGGUCCCCCACAUUGGAACUGAGACACGGUCCAAACUCCUACGGGAGGCAGCAGUGAGGAAUAUUGGUCAAUGGGCGAUGGCCUGAACCAGCCAAGUAGCGUGAAGGAUGACGGCCCUAUGGGUUGUAAACUGCUUUUAUAAGGGAAUAAAGUGAGUCUCGUGAGACUUUUUGCAUGUACCUUAUGAAUAAGGGCCGGCUAAUUCCGUGCCAGCAGCCGCGGUAAUACGGAAGGUCCGGGCGUUAUCCGGAUUUAUUGGGUUUAAAGGGAGCGUAGGCCGGAGAUUAAGCGUGUUGUGAAAUGUAGAUGCUCAACAUCUGAACUGCAGCGCGAACUGGUUUCCUUGAGUACGCACAAAGUGGGCGGAAUUCGUGGUGUAGCGGUGAAAUGCUUAGAUAUCACGAAGAACUCCGAUUG